Molecule: small nuclear RNA, 81 nt
Filed under: Fukomys damarensis (Damara mole-rat)
Lineage: Eukaryota; Metazoa; Chordata; Mammalia; Rodentia; Bathyergidae
Description: U2 spliceosomal RNA
Source: Rfam by way of RNAcentral
AUCGCUUCUCGGCCUUUUGGCUAAGAUCAAGUGUAGUAUAUACAGAGGACUGAAUAGUGAAUGAAGUAUAACUGACCCACA